RNAcentral lists this ribosomal RNA (1005 nucleotides) under Klebsiella oxytoca. Its description in RNAcentral is "bacterial SSU rRNA". It matches the Rfam family "Bacterial small subunit ribosomal RNA", at positions 1 to 995 of the family's 1533-position model. Lineage: Bacteria; Pseudomonadati; Pseudomonadota; Gammaproteobacteria; Enterobacterales; Enterobacteriaceae. The record is from RNAcentral.
UUAAAUUGAAGAGUUUGAUCAUGGCUCAGAUUGAACGCUGGCGGCAGGCCUAACACAUGCAAGUCGAGCGGUAGCACAGAGAGCUUGCUCUCGGGUGACGAGCGGCGGACGGGUGAGUAAUGUCUGGGAAACUGCCUGAUGGAGGGGGAUAACUACUGGAAACGGUAGCUAAUACCGCAUAACGUCGCAAGACCAAAGUGGGGGACCUUCGGGCCUCAUGCCAUCAGAUGUGCCCAGAUGGGAUUAGCUUGUUGGUGAGGUAACGGCUCACCAAGGCGACGAUCCCUAGCUGGUCUGAGAGGAUGACCAGCCACACUGGAACUGAGACACGGUCCAGACUCCUACGGGAGGCAGCAGUGGGGAAUAUUGCACAAUGGGCGCAAGCCUGAUGCAGCCAUGCCGCGUGUAUGAAGAAGGCCUUCGGGUUGUAAAGUACUUUCAGCGAGGAGGAAGGCAUUAAGGUUAAUAACCUUGGUGAUUGACGUUACUCGCAGAAGAAGCACCGGCUAACUCCGUGCCAGCAGCCGCGGUAAUACGGAGGGUGCAAGCGUUAAUCGGAAUUACUGGGCGUAAAGCGCACGCAGGCGGUCUGUCAAGUCGGAUGUGAAAUCCCCGGGCUCAACCUGGGAACUGCAUUCGAAACUGGCAGGCUAGAGUCUUGUAGAGGGGGGUAGAAUUCCAGGUGUAGCGGUGAAAUGCGUAGAGAUCUGGAGGAAUACCGGUGGCGAAGGCGGCCCCCUGGACAAAGACUGACGCUCAGGUGCGAAAGCGUGGGGAGCAAACAGGAUUAGAUACCCUGGUAGUCCACGCUGUAAACGAUGUCGACUUGGAGGUUGUUCCCUUGAGGAGUGGCUUCCGGAGCUAACGCGUUAAGUCGACCGCCUGGGGAGUACGGCCGCAAGGUUAAAACUCAAAUGAAUUGACGGGGGCCCGCACAAGCGGUGGAGCAUGUGGUUUAAUUCGAUGCAACGCGAAGAACCUUACCUACUCUUGACAUCCACGGAA